UACAGAGGGUGCAAGCGUUAAUCGGAAUUACUGGGCGUAAAGCGUGCGCAGGCGGUUUUGUAAGUCUGAUGUGAAAUCCCCGGGCUCAACCUGGGAAUUGCAUUGGAGACUGCAAGGCUAGAAUCUGGCAGAGGGGGGUAGAAUUCCACGUGUAGCAGUGAAAUGCGUAGAGAUGUGGAGGAACACCGAUGGCGAAGGCAGCCCCCUGGGUCAAGAUUGACGCUCAUGCACGAAAGCGUGGGGAGCAAACAGG
Molecule: ribosomal RNA, 253 nt
Filed under: uncultured bacterium
Lineage: Bacteria
Description: partial 16S ribosomal RNA
Rfam family: Bacterial small subunit ribosomal RNA
Source: RNAcentral